AUUGAACGCUGGCGGCAUGCCUUACACAUGCAAGUCGAACGGCAGCACGGGAGCAAUCCUGGUGGCGAGUGGCGAACGGGUGAGUAAUGUAUCGGAACGUACCUUUCAGUGGGGGAUAACGUAGCGAAAGUUACGCUAAUACCGCAUAUUCUGUGAGCAGGAAAGCAGGGGAUCGCAAGACCUUGCGCUGAUUGAGCGGCCGAUAUCAGAUUAGCUAGUUGGUGAGGUAAAGGCUCACCAAGGCGACGAUCUGUAGCGGGUCUGAGAGGAUGAUCCGCCACACUGGAACUGAGACACGGUCCAGACUCCUACGGGAGGCAGCAGUGGGGAAUUUUGGACAAUGGGCGCAAGCCUGAUCCAGCCAUGCCGCGUGAGUGAAGAAGGCCUCGGUUGUAAGUACUCUUCUAGUCCGGGAACGGAAAACGGAACGAACUAGGGUUAAG
This 443-nucleotide ribosomal RNA is filed under the name uncultured bacterium. Its description in RNAcentral is "bacterial SSU rRNA". It matches the Rfam family "Bacterial small subunit ribosomal RNA", at positions 30 to 473 of the family's 1533-position model. The record is from RNAcentral.